RNAcentral lists this transfer RNA (69 nucleotides) under Ovis aries (sheep). It matches the Rfam family "tRNA". Rfam says of the family: Transfer RNA (tRNA) molecules are approximately 80 nucleotides in length. The record is from Rfam by way of RNAcentral. Lineage: Eukaryota; Metazoa; Chordata; Mammalia; Artiodactyla; Bovidae.
CCUGGGAGCUUAGUUGGUAAAGAAUCUGCCUGCAAUGCAGGAGACCCAGGUUCAAUCCCUGGGUCAGGA